UAAGGCUUUAAGUUAAAAAAACUCUUAACCUUCAAAGUUAUAAAUAUCUAGACUUAGAUAAGUCUUAG
This 68-nucleotide transfer RNA is filed under the name Macropsis huangbana. RNAcentral describes it as "tRNA-Trp". The record is from RNAcentral. Lineage: Eukaryota; Metazoa; Arthropoda; Insecta; Hemiptera; Cicadellidae.